This 64-nucleotide small RNA is filed under the name Xanthomonas oryzae pv. oryzae. RNAcentral's name for it is "sX9". It matches the Rfam family "Xanthomonas sRNA sX9", at positions 14 to 76 of the family's 76-position model. The record is from RNAcentral. Lineage: Bacteria; Pseudomonadati; Pseudomonadota; Gammaproteobacteria; Lysobacterales; Lysobacteraceae.
UCCCUGCGGUUCUGAGCGCGCCGUCCGCGCCCACCUGACAGCUGCUCGCGACGUUGUGUUAACC